AUUGAACGCUGGCGGCAGGCUUAACACAUGCAAGUCGAGCGAGCGGCGGACGGGUGAGUAAUGUCUGGGAAACUGCCUGAUGGAGGGGGAUAACUACUGGAAACGGUAGCUAAUACCGCAUACCAUCAGAUGUGCCCAGAUGGGAUUAGCUAGUAUGUGGGGUAAUGGCUCACCUAGGCGACGAUCCCUAGCUGGUCUGAGAGGAUGACCAGCCACACUGGAACUGAGCCACGGGCCAGAGUCCAACGGGAGGCGGCAUUGGGGAUAAUGGCACAAUGGGGGCAAGCCUGAUGCAGCCAGGCCGCGUGUGUGAAGAGGGCCUUCGGGUUGUAAAGCACUUUCAGCGAGGAGACGUUACUCGCAGAAGAAGAACCGGCUAACUCCUUGCCAGCAGCCGCGGUAAUA
Molecule: ribosomal RNA, 405 nt
Filed under: uncultured bacterium
Lineage: Bacteria
Description: partial 16S ribosomal RNA
Rfam family: Bacterial small subunit ribosomal RNA
Source: RNAcentral